AGCAGUAGCCGCGGGAAUACGUAGGGUCCGAGCGUUGUCCGGAAUUACUGGGCGUAAAGAGCUCGUAGGUGGUUUGUCGCGUUGUUCGUGAAAACUCACAGCUCAACUGUGGGCGUGCGGGCGAUACGGGCAGACUAGAGUACUGCAGGGGAGACUGGAAUUCCUGGUGUAGCGGUGGAAUGCGCAGAUAUCAGGAGGAACACCGGUGGCGAAGGCGGGUCUCUGGGCAGUAACUGACGCUGAGGAGCGAAAGCGUGGGGAGCGAACAGGAUUAGAUACCGUGUAGUCCCUGUCUCUUAUACA
Molecule: ribosomal RNA, 303 nt
Filed under: uncultured bacterium
Lineage: Bacteria
Description: partial 16S ribosomal RNA
Rfam family: Bacterial small subunit ribosomal RNA
Source: RNAcentral